AGUAACACAAAGCUCCUAACGUAGACAAUAGAGAAUAACGUGCCGCGGAUAAUUGCAUGUCAUGGUUUUGAAGUUGGUAACAAGCAAACGGUCAUACGGUACUGCGGCUGAGUGAAACUGAACGCUAAAAGUGGCGGGAGCAGGACGGUUGUCCGUUCUUUGUAUUUAUGGCUUGCAUGAUGGCGGCGUGCGUCCGUGCGUAUUGCCGCAGUUUGAUGUACAAGUGAGAGACAUGGACGGCAGUAUAGUUUCAGGGUUCGUUAUGAAGACGUUUGACAAGUUGCUAAGUUGAGAAGUUGUUUGAGAACUCGCUACCAAUGGCUGAGUCCAGAACAACACUGGGAUCAGUCAAUGAAGGAUUUGCCAAGUUACAGCAGCCUCCUAUCCAUCACAAGCUUUUGGCCUGAACGCAGACAUGGUAAGCUGU
Ornithodoros turicata is the source of this 427-nucleotide long non-coding RNA. RefSeq lists it as uncharacterized. The record is from RefSeq and is a predicted model, not a curated record. Lineage: Eukaryota; Metazoa; Arthropoda; Arachnida; Ixodida; Argasidae. The transcript has 3 exons.